This 431-nucleotide ribosomal RNA is filed under the name uncultured bacterium. Its description in RNAcentral is "bacterial SSU rRNA". It matches the Rfam family "Bacterial small subunit ribosomal RNA", at positions 948 to 1382 of the family's 1533-position model. The record is from RNAcentral.
AAUUCGAUGCAACGCGAAAACCUUACCUGCCCUUGACAUCCUCGGAACUUGUCAGAGAUGACUUGGUGCCCUCGGGAACCGAGAGACAGGUGCUGCAUGGCUGUCGUCAGCUCGUGUCGUGAGAUGUUGGGUUAAGUCCCGCAACGAGCGCAACCCUUACCCUUAGUUGUUUUCCCGAAAGGAUUACCCUCUAAGGGGGACUGCCCCGGACAACGGGAGGAAGUGGGGAUGACGUCAAGUCCGCAUGCUCCUUACGUCUAGGGCUACACACGUCCUACAAUGGGGUCGACAGUGGGAUGCAAAGCCGCGAGGUGGAGCCAAUCCCCAAACGGCCUCUCAGUUCGGAUAGUAGUCUGCAACUCGACUACUUGAAGUCGGAAUCGCUAGUAAUGGCGGAUCAGCAUGCCGCCGUGAAUACGUUCCCGGGUCUU